RNAcentral lists this ribosomal RNA (301 nucleotides) under uncultured bacterium. RNAcentral's name for it is "partial 16S ribosomal RNA". It matches the Rfam family "Bacterial small subunit ribosomal RNA", at positions 509 to 807 of the family's 1533-position model. The record is from RNAcentral.
CAGCCGCCGCGGGAAAACGUAGGUGGCAAGCGUUGUCCGGAAUUAUUGGGCGUAAAGGGCUCGCAGGCGGUUUCUUAAGUCUGAUGUGAAAGCCCCCGGCUCAACCGGGGAGGGUCAUUGGAAACUGGGAAACUUGAGUGCAGAAGAGGAGAGUGGAAUUCCACGUGUAGCGGUGAAAUGCGUAGAGAUGUGGAGGAACACCAGUGGCGAAGGCGACUCUCUGGACCAUAACUGACGCUGAUGCACGAAGGCUAGGGGAGCGAACAGGAUUAGAUACCCCUGUAGUCCCUGUCUCUUAUAC